RNAcentral lists this transfer RNA (76 nucleotides) under Dichotomosiphon tuberosus. RNAcentral describes it as "tRNA-Ile". It matches the Rfam family "tRNA". Rfam says of the family: Transfer RNA (tRNA) molecules are approximately 80 nucleotides in length. Their secondary structure includes four short double-helical elements and three loops (D, anti-codon, and T loops). Further hydrogen bonds mediate the characteristic L-shaped molecular structure. tRNAs have two regions of fundamental functional importance: the anti-codon, which is responsible for specific mRNA codon recognition, and the 3' end, to which the tRNAs corresponding amino acid is attached (by aminoacyl-tRNA synthetases). tRNAs cope with the degeneracy of the genetic code in two manners: having more than one tRNA (with a specific anti-codon) for a particular amino acid; and 'wobble' base-pairing, i.e. permitting non-standard base-pairing at the 3rd anti-codon position. Lineage: Eukaryota; Viridiplantae; Chlorophyta; Ulvophyceae; Bryopsidales; Dichotomosiphonaceae. The record is from RNAcentral.
GGGCUAUUAGCUCAGAUGGUUAGAGCGCUGUCCUGAUAAGACAGAAGUCAUUGGUUCAAGUCCAAUAUAACCCACC